AAAGGAAUAGACGGGGGCCCGCACAAGCGGAGGAGCAUGUGGCUUAAUUCGAUGCAACGCGAAGAACCUUACCAGGACUUGACAUGCAACUGCACGUCCCGUGAAAGUGGGACUCCUUCGAGGGUGUUGCACAGGUGCUGCAUGCCUGUCGUCAGUUCGUGCCGUGAGGUGUUGGGUUAAGUCCCGCAACGAACGCAACCCUUGUGUUUAGUUGCCACCGCCGGUGAUGAAUCGGCGAGCACUCUAAACAGACUGCCCAUAUCAAAUGGGAGGAAGGUGGGGAUGACGUCAAGUCAGUAUGGCCUUUAUGUCCUGGGCUGCACACGUGCUACAAUGGCCGGCACAAUGGGAAGCAAUACCGCGAGGUGGAGCCAAUCCUCAAAAACCGGUCUCAGUUCAGAUUGGAGUCUGCAACUCGACUCCAUGAAGUUGGAUUCGCUAGUAACGGCGCAUCAGCUACGGCGCCGUGAAUACGUUCCCGGGCCUUGUACACACCGCCCGU
Molecule: ribosomal RNA, 502 nt
Filed under: uncultured bacterium
Lineage: Bacteria
Description: bacterial SSU rRNA
Rfam family: Bacterial small subunit ribosomal RNA
Source: RNAcentral